Long non-coding RNA from Myotis brandtii (Brandt's bat), 397 nucleotides. RefSeq lists it as uncharacterized. Lineage: Eukaryota; Metazoa; Chordata; Mammalia; Chiroptera; Vespertilionidae. The record is from RefSeq and is a predicted model, not a curated record. The transcript has 2 exons.
ACUGUGGCCCAGCUGCGGUGCGGGACCGACACCCCCUCCCCGCGGGUAUGGGGUCGGGUAAUCCUCUACCCCUGAAGGACUCCCAUACAUGCCCACAUGACAUCCGUUAUCCAGACCACUGGGUGCGACCAGGCCUGGCACCCAUCCUCUGGACCACCUGACACCCCUCCUCUGGACCGCCUGGCAUCCAUCAUCCCGACUGCCUGACAUCUGUUUGAUAACCGUGUGGACCAGACCUAGGACUCAGAAUGCAGGACUGAUAAUUCUCAAGAAUAUAUCUUUUUUAAUAUAAGAACUUUUAACUUUUCUCCUUUGGGAUACUUCUGGGGUUUUGCCUAGCUGUGUUCCUAGCUGCAAACUCCAAGAGCUUUGAAUAAAUAUAAUUUACUAGCGAAGA